GCCUUCGUGGUGUGAUGGUCAGCACACUGAGCCGGUAAUUCAGAGGUCCGCGGUUCGAUUCCCGGCGAAGGCG
Molecule: transfer RNA, 73 nt
Filed under: Stegodyphus mimosarum
Lineage: Eukaryota; Metazoa; Arthropoda; Arachnida; Araneae; Eresidae
Rfam family: tRNA
About the family: Transfer RNA (tRNA) molecules are approximately 80 nucleotides in length. Their secondary structure includes four short double-helical elements and three loops (D, anti-codon, and T loops).
Source: Rfam by way of RNAcentral